AUACAACUUUCAACAACGGAUCUCUUGGCUCUCGCAUCGAUGAAGAACACAGCGAAAUGUGAUAAGUAAUGUGAAUUGCAGAAUCCAGUGAACCAUCGAAUCUUUGAACGCAUCUUGCGCUCCUUGGCAUUCCGAGGAGCAUGCCUGUUUGAGUGUCAUUAA
This 162-nucleotide ribosomal RNA is filed under the name Amanita griseofolia. RNAcentral's name for it is "5.8S ribosomal RNA". It matches the Rfam family "5.8S ribosomal RNA". Rfam says of the family: 5.8S ribosomal RNA (5.8S rRNA) is a component of the large subunit of the eukaryotic ribosome. It is transcribed by RNA polymerase I as part of the 45S precursor that also contains 18S and 28S rRNA. Lineage: Eukaryota; Fungi; Basidiomycota; Agaricomycetes; Agaricales; Amanitaceae. The record is from RNAcentral.